This 585-nucleotide long non-coding RNA is filed under the name Marmota monax (woodchuck). Lineage: Eukaryota; Metazoa; Chordata; Mammalia; Rodentia; Sciuridae. The record is from RNAcentral.
GAGAUCUAUUGUUCAAUUAGAGGAAAAAUUUAUAUUCCUGUGAAAGAAUGCCCACAUUUUAAUUUUGUUACAAGAAUCUUCGGACCCAGAGGACAUACAACUAAACAGCUUGAAGCAGAAACUGUAUGUAAAAUAAUGGUCGGAGGCAAAGGCUCAAUGAGGAAAAGGAAGAGGAACAAGUUAGAUGCAAACCCAAUCGGGAGCAUCUAAAAGAACUACAUAUACUAAUUACGUAUACUAAUCACUGUGAAAGAUGCUCAAAUCAGAGCAGAAAUAAAACUGAAGAGAGCAGUUGAAGAAGUGAAGAAACUACAGGUACCUGCAGCAGAAGGAGAAAACAGCCUGAAUAAGAUGCAGCUGAUGGAGCUCCUGAUUUUGAAUGACACCUGCAGAGAUUCUAAUGUUAAAUCACCAUCCCUUGCCUAUUCUCUUGUGGCCAUAGCCCAGGCUGCUCCUAGGAUCAUAACUUGUCUUGUGCCUGUCCUCCCACCAGCUGCUUUGAGUACUCUUACCCAGCUGACCCUACCGUAAUGCCUUUGAUCGGACAAAUACAGACCUCUGUUAUGCCAAAAGGAACUCCUCAAC